UUUAGAUUGUUUCUGAACUGGCUUUUGGACCUUGGCUCCCCUGACCUUGUCCUUGAUAGUUCCAACUUUCAGUUGUGGGCAAGUUCACUUUCUGUACAAAGGCAUUCUAAGGGUGCUCUUGGUACUGCUUCAUGAUUUUCCAGAGUUCCUUUGUGAUUAUCAUUUCAGCUUUUGUGAUAUGAUUCCACCCAGUUGCAUUUAAAUGCGGAAUGUUAUUCAAAGUGCAUUCCCACGAAACAUGAGAUUGAUUUGCUGGCUGAAAUCAAGUAAUCACCGGGCAUUCUCUCUGAGAUUGAUGGUGCUCUGAAAGCAAAGCAGAUUAAGGUUGACAUUGAUGAGUAUCUCAAGUUAUCUUGAGUUGUCAUUAUUUUUCUCUACCUAACAUUGAGAAAUUCUCUUAUUUUCAUAUUUACAUAGCAAACCAUGCUAUACUAUUAUAUAAGUGCAUGUUGCCAAAUCAUGUGAAUUUUAAAGUAUUUAGAGCAUGAUUUUACACCAUUCCCUAUGUUGUAGCCCAUGUAAAUCUUAGGAGCAGAUCCAUAACUAAAUCCCAUCUACAUCAUCCCAAGUCCAACGACAUAUCAUAAUCCAACUUCGUAGUAGACAUUCCUCUUAUUCAUAUAGAUCAGCUAAGAUUAGGAUGAAGAAUCUGAUUCAUAUAGAUCUCCCUUUGAAUCAUCAUUUAACACGAAAAUUCUAGUUGAGUGCAGAAAACAUGGCUAGCUAUUCAAAUAAAUGUUUCUCUUGAUUUUCACUUAAACUGCAAAUCAUUUUUUUCAAGUG
Magnolia sinica is the source of this 783-nucleotide long non-coding RNA. RefSeq lists it as uncharacterized. NCBI's taxonomy places the organism in Eukaryota, Viridiplantae, Streptophyta, Magnoliopsida, Magnoliales, Magnoliaceae. The transcript is spliced from 3 exons. The record is from RefSeq and is a predicted model, not a curated record.